CGAUACAAAUUGUGGACAGAAAAGAUCAGGUAUCAUGGCAUCGAACCAUUCCUUUUGUGAAGGUGCAAUGGAACAAUCAUACGGAAAGAGAGGCUACCUUGGAGCUCGAAGAAGAGAUGAAGGUCAAGCAUCCGGAACUAUUUGAACCCACAUGUAUGCUAAUUUCAAGGACGAUUUUUUUUUUAGGUGGGGAGAAUGUAAGAGCCACAUUUUAAGCCGGGCCGGCUCGCUAACCACAGCACUGGCCCGACCCAUGUGAAGGGGAGGGAGACUCCCGAACGGGGUCUUCUCCCUCCCCUGCUUCAGUCCCUUCCCGAAUCCACCGCACGAGGGGAAA
This 337-nucleotide long non-coding RNA is filed under the name Phoenix dactylifera (date palm). RNAcentral's name for it is "long non-coding RNA (PDAC_LNC012741)". Lineage: Eukaryota; Viridiplantae; Streptophyta; Magnoliopsida; Arecales; Arecaceae. The record is from RNAcentral.